RNAcentral lists this ribosomal RNA (253 nucleotides) under uncultured bacterium. RNAcentral's name for it is "partial 16S ribosomal RNA". It matches the Rfam family "Bacterial small subunit ribosomal RNA", at positions 524 to 776 of the family's 1533-position model. The record is from RNAcentral.
UACGUAGGGGGCAAGCGUUGUCCGGAAUCAUUGGGCGUAAAGCGCGUGUAGGCGGUCCGGUAAGUCGGCUGUGAAAGUCAAGGGCUCAACCCUUGAAAGCCGGUUGAUACUGUCGGGCUAGAGUCCGGAAGAGGCGAGUGGAAUUCCCGGUGUAGCGGUGAAAUGCGCAGAUAUCGGGAGGAACACCAAUGGCGAAGGCAGCUCGCUGGGACGGUACUGACGCUGAGACGCGAAAGCGUGGGGAGCAAACAGG